This 80-nucleotide small nuclear RNA is filed under the name Wallacemonas collosoma. RNAcentral's name for it is "U5 small nuclear RNA". Lineage: Eukaryota; Euglenozoa; Kinetoplastea; Trypanosomatida; Trypanosomatidae. The record is from RNAcentral.
ACCGGCAUCACUGCUUCGACUUUUACUAAGCAGCGCAGCCAACACAUAUCAUGUCAAAUUUUGGGAACCCUUGUGGUUUU